AUUGAACGCUGGCGGCAGGCCUAACACAUGCAAGUCGAACGGUAGCACAGAGAGCUUGCUCUCGGGUGACGAGUGGCGGACGGGUGAGUAACGUCUGGGAAACUGCCCGAUGGAGGGGGAUAACUACUGGAAACGGUAGCUAAUACCGCAUAACGUCGCAAGACCAAAGUGGGGGACCUUCGGGCCUCACACCAUCGGAUGUGCCCAGAUGGGAUUAGCUAGUAGGUGGGGUAAUGGCUCACCUAGGCGACGAUCCCUAGCUGGUCUGAGAGGAUCACCAGCCACACUGGAACUGAACCACGGUCCCGACUCCUACGGGAGGAAGCAGUGGGGAAUAUUGCACAAUGGGCGCAAGCCUGAUGCAGCCAUGCCGCGUGUAUGAAGAAGGCCUUCGGGUUGUAAAGUACUUUCAGCGGGGAGGAAGGCGGUGAAGUUAAUAGCUUCACCGAUUGACGUUACCCGCAGAAGAAGCACCGGCUAACUCCGUGCCAGCAGCCGCCGUAA
Molecule: ribosomal RNA, 504 nt
Filed under: uncultured bacterium
Lineage: Bacteria
Description: partial 16S ribosomal RNA
Rfam family: Bacterial small subunit ribosomal RNA
Source: RNAcentral